RNAcentral lists this ribosomal RNA (450 nucleotides) under uncultured Cellulomonas sp. Its description in RNAcentral is "bacterial SSU rRNA". It matches the Rfam family "Bacterial small subunit ribosomal RNA", at positions 930 to 1382 of the family's 1533-position model. Lineage: Bacteria; Bacillati; Actinomycetota; Actinomycetes; Micrococcales; Cellulomonadaceae. The record is from RNAcentral.
CGGCGGAGCAUGCGAUUAAUUCGAUGCAACGCGAAGAACCUUACCAAGGCUUGACAUACACCGGUAACGCCCAGAGAUGGGUGCCCCUUUGUGGUCGGUGUACAGGUGUGCAUGGUUGUCGUCAGCUCGUGUCGUGAGAUGUUGGGUUAAGUCCCGCAACGAGCGCAACCCUCGUCCUAUGUUGCCAGCGGGUCAUGCCGGGGACUCAUGGGAGACUGCCGGGGUCAACUCGGAGGAAGUGGGGAUGACGUCAAAUCAUCAUGCCCCUUAUGUCUUGGGCUUCACGCAUGCUACAAUGGCCGGUACAAAGGGCUGCGAUACCGCGAGGUGGAGCGAAUCCCAGAAAGCCGGUCUCAGUUCGGAUUGGGGUCUGCAACUCGAACCCCAUGAAGUCGGAGUCGCUAGUAAUCGCAGAUCAGCAACGCUGCGGUGAAUACGUUCCCGGGCCUU